GACGGAGGGGGCUAGCGCUGUUCGGAAUGACUGGGUGUAAAGGGCGCGUAGGCGGUAUUUUAAGGGAGGCGUGAAAGCCCUGGGCUUAACCCAGGAGGUGCGUUUCAUACUGGAAUGCUAGAGUGCGAGAGAGGAAAGUGGAAUUCCUAGUGUAGAGGUGAAAUUCGUAGAUAUUAGGAAGAACACCAGAGGCGAAGGCGGCUUUCUGGCUCGCAACUGACGCUGAGGCGCGAAAGCGUGGGGAGCAAACAGG
RNAcentral lists this ribosomal RNA (253 nucleotides) under uncultured bacterium. RNAcentral's name for it is "partial 16S ribosomal RNA". It matches the Rfam family "Bacterial small subunit ribosomal RNA", at positions 524 to 776 of the family's 1533-position model. The record is from RNAcentral.